GCCUGGGUGGCUCAGUCGGUUGAGCGUCUGACUUCAGCUCAGGUCAUGAUCUCACCGUUUGUGGGUAUGAGCCCCUCAUCUGGCU
RNAcentral lists this transfer RNA (85 nucleotides) under Felis catus (domestic cat). It matches the Rfam family "tRNA". From Rfam's summary of the family: Transfer RNA (tRNA) molecules are approximately 80 nucleotides in length. Their secondary structure includes four short double-helical elements and three loops (D, anti-codon, and T loops). Further hydrogen bonds mediate the characteristic L-shaped molecular structure. tRNAs have two regions of fundamental functional importance: the anti-codon, which is responsible for specific mRNA codon recognition, and the 3' end, to which the tRNAs corresponding amino acid is attached (by aminoacyl-tRNA synthetases). tRNAs cope with the degeneracy of the genetic code in two manners: having more than one tRNA (with a specific anti-codon) for a particular amino acid; and 'wobble' base-pairing, i.e. permitting non-standard base-pairing at the 3rd anti-codon position. The record is from Rfam by way of RNAcentral. Lineage: Eukaryota; Metazoa; Chordata; Mammalia; Carnivora; Felidae.